GUUUAAUCCGCAAGUCACCGGCUGCUCUUGGCUUCGGUCGACAUUAAUCCAUAAUCCGUGGAUUCGACGGUCGUAGAUGUGGUACGAGUCCGCCUUGCUUU
This is a non-coding RNA of Salvia hispanica, 101 nucleotides long. The record is from RefSeq and is a predicted model, not a curated record. NCBI's taxonomy places the organism in Eukaryota, Viridiplantae, Streptophyta, Magnoliopsida, Lamiales, Lamiaceae.